This 457-nucleotide ribosomal RNA is filed under the name uncultured bacterium. RNAcentral describes it as "bacterial SSU rRNA". It matches the Rfam family "Bacterial small subunit ribosomal RNA", at positions 29 to 524 of the family's 1533-position model. The record is from RNAcentral.
AGCGAACGCUAGCGGCGGGCCUAACACAUGCAAGUCGAGCGCAUACCUUCGGGUAUGAGCGGCGGACGGGUGAGUAACGCGUAGGUCAUCUACCCUUUGGUGGGGGAUAACCCAGGGAAACUUGGGCUAAUACCGCAUGAGGUCCACGGAUCAAAGCCUUCGGGCGCCAGAGGAUGAGCCUGCGUCGCAUUACCUAGUUGGCGGGGUAACGGCCCACCAAGGGGACGAUGCGUAGCUGGUCUGAGAGGAUGAUCAGCCACACUGGGACUGAGACACGGCCCAGACUCCUACGGGAGGCAGCAGUGGGGAAUAUUGCGCAAUGGGGGAAACCCUGACGCAGCCACGCCGCGUGGGUGAUGAAGGCCUUCGGGUUGUAAAGCCCUGUCGGGAGGGACGAAUUCUUGACGGUACCUCCAAAGAAAGCACCGGCUAACUCCGUGCCAGCAGCCGCGGUAAU